CCAAGCAGCCGUCCCCACGACCCCUGCCUGGCUCUGCUGUCCCCAGACCUUGCCCAAACCUCCAUCCCAGCAGGAAGGACAACGAGGGUCGGACCCGCCACUGCCUCCGACCCACCGCCCACGCCACCGACCCGGCCACGAUUUAUCAUUAACUUGCCCUGAGGAAUUUCAAGGGCGCAGAGCCAGCCUGGGAAGCGCUCGCUCCUCCCCAGACACCGCGCUCGGAGCAAGCUCCCAUGGUGGCAUGUCCCCACGGUGGCUUGUCCCUACCACCGGCAUUAGCGCUGCUAACCAGAGUGAUGCCCCAAAAUCCAUUGGGGUGCAAGGUGCCGGUGCUGGUGGAUGUCAGCUAGAUCCAGGCCCAUUUGGACAAAUGGGAUGGUGUCCAUCACCCCAGAAGCUGGACCUGAAUCCUGCCCUCCCUCCUUUGCCGUCACUUCUUUGCCAUACAACACCUGCCCAUCUUUCAGAGCAGAGCCCUGGUGAUACAGGAUGGUCCAGAGCUCCUUCUCCUCCCUCCCUGGCUGCCAGCACUGCGGCAGGAGAGCAAUCAGGCUUCCCAUCAGGGGCCGGUCGGCCUCAGCACUUAUACUGAAUUAUUUGCAGUCAUGAAGGGAGUGAAAUGAGGGAAAUAAAGCUACACGAAGCUGCUGCUAA
Long non-coding RNA from Harpia harpyja (harpy eagle), 657 nucleotides. RefSeq lists it as uncharacterized. The record is from RefSeq and is a predicted model, not a curated record. The transcript is spliced from 2 exons. Lineage: Eukaryota; Metazoa; Chordata; Aves; Accipitriformes; Accipitridae.